UUAAAUGAGUCUUUAUCUACAUGCAGGU
Molecule: non-coding RNA, 28 nt
Filed under: Mus musculus (house mouse)
Lineage: Eukaryota; Metazoa; Chordata; Mammalia; Rodentia; Muridae
Source: RNAcentral